Molecule: ribosomal RNA, 387 nt
Filed under: uncultured bacterium
Lineage: Bacteria
Description: bacterial SSU rRNA
Rfam family: Bacterial small subunit ribosomal RNA
Source: RNAcentral
GACGAACGCUGGCGGCGUGCUUAACACAUGCAAGUCGAACGGUAAGGCCCUUCGGGGUACACGAGUGGCGAACGGGUGAGUAACACGUGGUGAUCUGCCCUGCACUUCGGGAUAAGCUUGGGAAACUGGGUCUAAUACCGGAUAGGACCACGGUCUGCAUGGAUUGUGGUGGAAAGCUUUUGCGGUGUGGGAUGGGCCCGCGGCCUAUCAGCUUGUUGGUGGGGUGAUGGCCUACCAAGGCGACGACGGGUAGCCGGCCUGAGAGGGUGUCCGGCCACACUGGGACUGAGAUACGGGCCCAGACUCCUACGGGAGGCAGCAGUGGGGAAUAUUGCACAAUGGGCGCAAGCCUGAUGCAGCGACGCCGCGUGGGGGAUGACGGCCUUC